AGUGAACGCUGGCGGUAGGCCUAACACAUGCAAGUCGAACGGCAGCACAGUAAGAGCUUGCUCUUACGGGUGGCGAGUGGCGGACGGGUGAGGAAUACAUCGGAAUCUACUUUUUCGUGGGGGAUAACGUAGGGAAACUUACGCUAAUACCGCAUACGACCUACGGGUGAAAGCAGGGGAUCUUCGGACCUUGCGCGAUUGAAUUAGCCGAUGUCGGAUUAGCUAGUUGGCGGGGUAAAGGCCCACCAAGGCGACGAUACGUAGCUGGUCUGAGAGGAUGAUCAGCCACACUGGAACUGAGACACGGUCCAGACUCCUACGGGAGGCAGCAGUGGGGAAUAUUGGACAAUGGGCGAAAGCCUGAUCCAGCAAUACCGCGUGAGUGAAGAAGGCCUUCGGGUCGUAAAGCCCUGUUGUUGGGAAAGAACAGCAGCAGGUUAAUACGCCGAUGUUCUGACGGUACCUAAAGAAUAAGCACCGGCUAACUUCGUG
Molecule: ribosomal RNA, 492 nt
Filed under: uncultured bacterium
Lineage: Bacteria
Description: partial 16S ribosomal RNA
Rfam family: Bacterial small subunit ribosomal RNA
Source: RNAcentral